Molecule: ribosomal RNA, 386 nt
Filed under: uncultured bacterium
Lineage: Bacteria
Description: bacterial SSU rRNA
Rfam family: Bacterial small subunit ribosomal RNA
Source: RNAcentral
AAUGGAGGAAACUCUGACGCAGUGACGCCGCGUGCAGGAAGAAGGUUUUCGGAUUGUAAACUGCUUUAGACAGGGAAGAGAAAGGACAGUACCUGUAGAAUAAGCUCCGGCUAACUACGUGCCAGCAGCCGCGGUAAUACGUAGGGAGCGAGCGUUAUCCGGAUUUAUUGGGUGUAAAGGGUGCGUAGACGGGAAUACAAGUUAGUUGUGAAAUACCUCGGCUUAACAGAGGAACUGCAACUAAAACUAUAUUUCUUGAGUACAGGAGAGGUGAGUGGAAUUCCUAGUGUAGCGGUGAAAUGCGUAGAUAUUAGGAGGAACACCAGUGGCGAAGGCGACUUACUGGACUGAAACUGACGUUGAGGCACGAAAGCGUGGGGAGCAAA